GACGAACGCUGGCGGCGUGCUUAACACAUGCAAGUCGAACGGAAAGGCCCUGCUUUUGUGGGGUGCUCGAGUGGCGAACGGGUGAGUAACACGUGAGUAACCUGCCCUUGACUUUGGGAUAACUUCAGGAAACUGGGGCUAAUACCGGAUAGGAGCUCCUGCUGCAUGGUGGGGGUUGGAAAGUUUCGGCGGUUGGGGAUGGACUCGCGGCUUAUCAGCUUGUUGGUGGGGUAGUGGCUUACCAAGGCUUUGACGGGUAGCCGGCCUGAGGGGGUGACCGGCCACAUUGGGACUGAGAUACGGCCCAGACUCCUACGGGAGGCAGCAGUGGGGAAUAUUGCACAAUGGGCGGAAGCCUGAUGCAGCAACGCCGCGUGCGGGAUGACGGCCUUCGGGUUGUAACCCGCUUUCGCCUGUGACGAAGCGUGAGUGACGGUAAUGGGUAAAGAAGCACCGGCUAACUACGUG
Molecule: ribosomal RNA, 468 nt
Filed under: uncultured bacterium
Lineage: Bacteria
Description: partial 16S ribosomal RNA
Rfam family: Bacterial small subunit ribosomal RNA
Source: RNAcentral